Molecule: ribosomal RNA, 253 nt
Filed under: uncultured bacterium
Lineage: Bacteria
Description: partial 16S ribosomal RNA
Rfam family: Bacterial small subunit ribosomal RNA
Source: RNAcentral
UACAGAGGUCUCAAGCGUUGUUCGGAUUCAUUGGGCGUAAAGGGUGCGUAGGCGGCGCGGUAAGUCGGGUGUGAAAUCUCGGAGCUUAACUCCGAAACUGCAUUCGAUACUGCCGUGCUUGAGGACUGGAGAGGAGACUGGAAUUUACGGUGUAGCGGUGGAAUGCGCAGAUAUCAGGAGGAACACCGAUAGCGAAGGCAGCUCGCUGGGACGGUACUGACACUAAAGUGCGAAAGCGUGGGUAGCAAACAGG